AUGGCGCAAAGCCUCACCGGCGGCGCCACCCCCUUCUGCUGCUACCCUCACCCGCCCAGCUACGCCGCCGGGCGAGCUACCCCGACCGCUCCCCCUUCCACCCGCCGCCGCGUGGUCGCCUCGGCCUCCCCUACGCCGCCCCCGCCGGCCAUCGAGGGCCGCGGGGUGGGAUUUUCGGUGACGACGAGGCGGGGGCUGGUGCUGCCGGUGCUCAAGGACUGCUCGCUGUGCGUCCCGCCGGGGCAGCUCUGGAUGCUCCUCGGCCCCAACGGCUGCGGCAAGUCCACCCUCCUCAAGGUUUUGGCAGGUUUUCAAAAUCCCUCUGCUGGUACAGUGCAUAUUAAUAGGCCAUUCAGCUAUGUCUUCCAAAAUCCUGAUCACCAGGUUGUGAUGCCCACUGUGGAAUCCGAUGUUGCAUUUGGUCCUGGUAAGCUCAAUCUUUCAUUGGAUGAGGUUAGGUCAAGAGUGUCACAAUCUCUGGAUGCAGUUGGAAUGUUGAGCUACUCUCAAAGGCCAAUCCAAACUCUGAGUGGUGGGCAGAAACAGAGAGUUGCCAUUGCUGGUGCUUUAGCUGAAGCAUCCAAAGUACUACUGCUGGAUGAGCUGACCACAUUCUUGGACGAAUAUGAUCAGAUGGGCGUGGUCAAGGCGGUGAGGAACUCUGUGACUGCUAGUGGGGAGGUUGCGGCACUGUGGGUGACCCAUCGGCUGGAAGAACUCAGAUACGCAGAUGGUGCUAUCUACAUGGAAGAUGGCCGGACGAUUAUUCAAGGCGACGUCUCCAGUAUAUCCAGGUUUAUAAAGAGGAAGCAAGCACGCUACUUCGGUCAUUUUGAGCUCUGA
This 843-nucleotide ribosomal RNA is filed under the name Triticum aestivum (bread wheat). Its description in RNAcentral is "partial small subunit ribosomal RNA". Lineage: Eukaryota; Viridiplantae; Streptophyta; Magnoliopsida; Poales; Poaceae. The record is from RNAcentral.